GAACUUUAACAUGAUUCAUUAUCGAGACGUAUAUGCAUACACUGAUUAAGGAUUCCUUGAAAAGUUAAAAGAGUUGUCACGCCCGGAAAUUCACUAGUAAUUUCCGAAGUUAUUUAUGCAUAAAAUCCUCGUCCAGCAAUCAACCGAGGUACACAAACUGACAAUUUAAUAUACAAAUCCAUCAUAAUAAUAACGUUACACACUUACAAAAGAAAAGAAAACAGCAGCGGAAUAACGGUCUAGCGAUGGCUUCAGCUCCACUCCCACAGGCAGCUCAACUGGGGUAUAAGCCAAACGUCUUCUCCUUCUAGAUCCUUUUUCUUCAACUGAGGAUGAUUGAUUAUUGCAAGAAUGAGCAUAUGACAUACUCAACAAGCCACACAACAAAUAUGCAAGUGCACAAGGAUACCAAAGGAUGGCAUAAUAUAGGCUCAUUUGCAAAAGCAGCAUUUAGCAAAACAUUUAAGAGAAGUAAAACAGUGGAGUAAUUAAUCAGAAAUUUUAAUCAACACUGAACAACACACCCAUGCUGCACAGGCCCAACCAUCCUGAACAACCAUACCCGGCUGUACAGAUCUAACUCCAAACCAGGAGCUAAGCAAAUUAUUACCAGGUAUAACAUCCAUAAUUAUUGUGAGAGGUGUGAGACUAAUCACGAAAAACAUUGCUCAACCCACCCAUAACCGCGGGCACGGCUAUUCGAAUAGUUUUACUCUGGCCAGAGGUGUACCACUGUACCCACAAGACACAGCCUCAACAUUAUGUCUACCAUGCGUCGCGAUACUGGAAAGUACCCGAAUAGAGGCUGUGGCAAUACCCUCUGCACAACACAACUCACCACAGUGCACCAUUCCUGGAUCAUAAUCACCCCCUUAUAAAACAAGGCAUGGACUCCCCAGCGACCCCCGUGGGCUUAUCUCCGCCACUUCUCAGUCUGGUGCUCCGCAAUGAACCAUGCUAUACAAAAGGUAAAGUCGUUGCCCACGCUGGCUUGUGGUUGGCACGGUUAAUGUUUCACAACAGUAGCUCGCGAACCGGUCCUUAAUUGCCAUGAGCACGACCUUCAAAACCAUGUGCUCACAACCCACCAUUAAUCAUAUUUUAAUUACCAAUUAAUUAUCAUAACACGAUUAACCAUCGUGAGCUACCAUUAAAUAUAACCAUAAAUAAUAAUGUAGUAUAUAUGAUUCAUCCCAUUAGUGAGCUAAUGUUUCUAAGCAUGGCUAAGCAAUUAUAUCUAAUAUCUAGCUGAACCAAUAUAUAAAGCUCAACUAGUCAAGUUAUAAUAACCCAAGGUAUCAAGGAAUAAAGUAAUCAAUGCAAACAGGCCAUAACAAAGGAAUAGAUUCACACCACCAAUGACAUUCGAAAAUAAAUGCACAGUUGAAAUAAAUAGAGAAUUUAAAUAUAGGAUCAACAUGCUCAAAGGAUUGUGUUUAGGAUCUGUGUGACUUGCCUUGCAAUAAUCGGUCUUCAAUUAAUCUUCUGAACACUCCCGACGCACUCACGAACCUUCGCAACGACGGAAACGACAAGCUAACACGCAAAACGAAGAAAAAGACUAAUAAAAACCAAAUAAACAGUACAUAUAAAGUAAACAAACAUGUAGAUCAUGAUUUUAGAUGAAUUUAGCAACUUGAACCACUCAAAACCGAGUUACGAUGAUUUAGUUAUGAAUUUCCGAAGAUUUAAUCUAUUAGAAAAACAGGAAAAAGAAAAACGAUGAUGACAUCAUGAUGACCUCAUCAAUGGCCGGACCAAGAUGGCGACCUCGCCGGAGAUUGGAUGGUCGGCUGCGACUUUGGAGGACAUGUACACGUAGAGGACGACGAGACGAACCUAACGGUACUCACCCUCGAACCAAACGACGAACGACGACGGCCGGCGACGGGGCUCCGGUGACCGGCGACAGCGGGGAGAGAGCGGCCGAGCUUGCCCACACCUCGGCGCACCUUACGGCGGUGACGGCGACCGGCGGCGACGACGGAGGCGGCGGCGCGACGCGGAUGGAGCUCGGCCGGCGACGACGGCGGGGUGGAGCACGUGGCGGCGGCGCUACGAGGCACGGGAGAUCACGGGAGAGGGGGCAAACGAAAGAGGAGGACUAGGGGGUCCUAUUUAUAGCCUUGGAUUGAAGAGAUCGGACUCCUCCCGCAAGAAAUCGAUCCGGGAAAUCAAAAACUCGGUUUCGGAGAUAAACUCGAAAACGAGUUCGAUUCGGAUAAGAUACUCAACGAUUAGCUCCAAUUUUUAGGGGUAAAUAUAGAGGAGGAUAAGAGGAAUAUUUCCCCUCAACUAAUUUUAGAAAAACACAAGGGGAAAGGUCAGAUUUGGA
Molecule: long non-coding RNA, 2335 nt
Filed under: Oryza sativa (Asian cultivated rice)
Lineage: Eukaryota; Viridiplantae; Streptophyta; Magnoliopsida; Poales; Poaceae
Description: long non-coding RNA (OSAT_LNC000700)
Source: RNAcentral